RNAcentral lists this unclassified non-coding RNA (1356 nucleotides) under Haliotis rufescens (red abalone). RNAcentral describes it as "ceramide synthase 5-like, transcript variant X1". Lineage: Eukaryota; Metazoa; Mollusca; Gastropoda; Lepetellida; Haliotidae. The record is from RNAcentral.
GGGACGUCCCAAGUGUAUCAUAUAUAUAUCGCCUGUUGUAAGGACAACAGUCUUGCAUCUCGCGUGAUAUUAGAAAAACAAUAAUGGCUGCUAUGUGGGAGUGGAUUCGGAGCACUUUUUGGAGUGAAUGGUUUUGGUUGCCUCCGCAGCAUAGCUGGAAGGAUUUGGUUAACCGUGAUGAUGGAAUUUAUCUACCACAAGUGUCCGAUAUGCUUGUCACCGUGCCUCUUACAGUGUUGAUGCUCGUAUUGCGAGCGCUAUUCGAAAGAUACAUUGCAGGACCCAUAGGUCGGUAUUAUGGUCUCAAGGCAGACGGGGCCAAGCAUGUCGUACCGAACCCUUAUCUCGAGAAAAUAUUUGGACAAAAUAAAACACCAGAUAAAAAUUCGUUUUUGAGCAUAUCAAAACAAACAGACCUGAGCGUGAGGCAGGUUGAAAGAUGGUUCAGGAUAAGACGAAUGCAGAGCCGAACCAUUGUUCUCUAUAGAUUUACAGAAUCAAGUUGGAGGUUUUUGUUCUAUCUGGUCAUAUUUUGGUAUGGAUUGAUAGUGCUGUGGGAUAAAAGCUGGUUAUGGGACACCAUGGAGUGUUGGAUAGGAUAUCCACGCCAUCAUAUCUCCCCAGAAAUCUAUUGGUACUAUGCAGUGGAAGCAUCCUUCUACCUCUCACUUUUAAUUACACAGUGUAAAGAUGUCAAAAGAAAGGAUUUCGCUGAGAUGUUUAUCCACCACGUGGUAACACUUAGCCUCAUGUUCCUAUCAUGGUCGCAGAAUAUUGUGAGAUUUGGGACACUCAUCCUCGUCUUGCAUGAUGCUGUGGACUCCUUGUUGGAGGCAGCCAAGAUGGCCAAGUACCUGAAAUGGCAAAAAACAACAGACGCAGUUUUUGUCAUAUUUCUACUCGUUUGGGUCAUCACAAGAAUGAUUCUAUUACCAUAUAAGUUGAUUUACACUGCAAUGUUCGAGUCUACGACCAUUGUGGGCUUCUGUGCAAUAUACUUCUUAUACAAUGGCCUGCUCAUCGUCCUGCAGAUUCUGCACAUAUUCUGGUUCGUCAUUAUCAGCAAGAUGGCAUACUCCGCCCUGAAAAAAGGAAAACCCAAGCUGAUAGCGGAGAGUCAUGUCUUUCAUAGACUUGUCAUUGUAUUUGGUGGUAGUUAAGGCUACACUUCCACAUACAAAUUUGGCAUGAUAAUCACCUGUAUGAGAAUAGUGCAUCAUGGGAGAUUGCAAAGGAUGACAGAAGUUCAAGCGAUGAAGAAAUAUCGGAGGAUGAUGUUACCAAUCACAAGUCUGAUCAUGUAGCUAAUGGCAACAAUCUAACCAAUGAUAGCAGAGAAAAAUAUUUGUCAACCAA